This 2040-nucleotide ribosomal RNA is filed under the name Georgenia satyanarayanai. Its description in RNAcentral is "Georgenia sp. JC82 Bacterial large subunit ribosomal RNA". It matches the Rfam family "Bacterial large subunit ribosomal RNA", at positions 892 to 2768 of the family's 2925-position model. Lineage: Bacteria; Bacillati; Actinomycetota; Actinomycetes; Allobogoriellales; Allobogoriellaceae. The record is from Rfam by way of RNAcentral.
CUUGCCGGAGGUAGAGCUACUGGAUGGCCGAUGGGCCCCAACAGGUUACUGACGUCAGCCAAACUCCGAAUGCCGGUAAGUGUAAGCGCAGCAGUGAGACUGCGGGGGAUAAGCUUCGUAGUCGAGAGGGAAACAGCCCAGACCACCGGCUAAGGCCCCUAAGCGUGUGCUAAGUGGGAAAGGAUGUGGAGUUGCACAGACAACCAGGAGGUUGGCUUAGAAGCAGCCACCCUUGAAAGAGUGCGUAAUAGCUCACUGGUCAAGUGAUUCUGCGCCGACAAUUUAGCGGGGCUCAAGCACACCGCCGAAGCCGUGGCAUCAGCACAUGUCCCCAGCUUCCUCCCUCGUGGGGGUUGUUCAGGGGUGUUGAUGGGUAGGGGAGCGUCGUGUGGGAGGUGAAGCUGCGGGGUGACCCAGUGGUGGAUCCCACACGAGUGAGAAUGCAGGCAUGAGUAGCGAAAGACGGGUGAGAAACCCGUCCGCCGAAUGACCAAGGGUUCCAGGGCCAGGUUAAUCCGCCCUGGGUAAGUCGGGACCUAAGGCGAGGCCGACAGGCGUAGUCGAUGGACAACGGGUUGAUAUUCCCGUACCGGCGAAACACCGCCCAUACCGAGCCCGGUGAUGCUAACCGCCCAACGCUCACGUGUUGCCCUUCGGGGCGCAUGUGAGCCGCGCGCGGAACCCGAACCGGUAGUAGGUAAGCGUAUUAACAGGGGUGACGCAGACAGGUAGCCUCCGCGUGCUUUAUGGCUAUGCACGUCCAAGGGAGCAGGGCGAGGUCCAGGCAAAUCCGGGCCUCACACAAGCCUCAGACCCGAUGGUGACCGCGAACGCGGGAAGCAGGGUGAUCCUAUGCUGCCAAGAAAAGCCUCGACGCGAGGUGUUAGCCGCCCGUACCCUAAACCGACUCAGGUGGUCAGGUAGAGUAUACCAAGGCGAUCGAGAUAAUCAUGGUUAAGGAACUCGGCAAAAUGCCCCCGUAACUUCGGGAGAAGGGGGGCCUGAGGGGUGAAGCCACUUGCUGGCUAGCCUUUGAGGGCCGCAGAGACCAGGGAGAAGCGACUGUUUACUAAAAACACAGGUCCGUGCGAAGUCGCAAGACGAUGUAUACGGACUGACGCCUGCCCGGUGCUGGAAGGUUAAGAGGACGGGUCAGCUCAACUUCGGUUGGGCGAAGCUCAGAAUUUAAGCCCCAGUAAACGGCGGUGGUAACUAUAACCAUCCUAAGGUAGCGAAAUUCCUUGUCGGGUAAGUUCCGACCUGCACGAAUGGCGUAACGACUUCUCCGCUGUCUCAACCGUGAACUCGGCGAAAUUGCACUACGAGUAAAGAUGCUCGUUACGCGCAGCAGGACGGAAAGACCCCGGGACCUUUACUAUAGCUUGGUAUUGGUGUUCGGGACGGCUUGUGUAGGAUAGGUGGGAGACUGUGAAGCAGCCACGCCAGUGGUUGUGGAGUCAUCGUUGAAAUACCACUCUGGUCGUUCUGGACAUCUAACCUCGGUCCGUAAUCCGGAUCAGGGACAGUGCCUGGUGGGUAGUUUAACUGGGGCGGUUGCCUCCCAAAAUGUAACGGAGGCGCUCAAAGGUUCCCUCAGCCUGGUUGGCAAUCAGGUGGCGAGUGUAAGUGCACAAGGGAGCUUGACUGUGAGACUGACAGGUCGAGCAGGGACGAAAGUCGGAACUAGUGAUCCGGCGGUGGCUUGUGGAAGCGCCGUCGCUCAACGGAUAAAAGGUACCCCGGGGAUAACAGGCUGAUCUUGCCCAAGAGUCCAUAUCGACGGCAUGGUUUGGCACCUCGAUGUCGGCUCGUCGCAUCCUGGGGCUGGAGUAGGUCCCAAGGGUUGGGCUGUUCGCCCAUUAAAGCGGUACGCGAGCUGGGUUUAGAACGUCGUGAGACAGUUCGGUCCCUAUCCGCUGCGCGCGCAGGAAACUUGAGAAGGCCUGUCCCUAGUACGAGAGGACCGGGACGGACGAACCUCUGGUGUGCCAGUUGUUCCGCCAGGAGCACGGCUGGUUGGCUACGUUCGGAAGGGAUAAC